UAUAAGUUUAAUCGUUUAUCGAGAAACCGCGAACGGCUCAUUACAAUGGCCAUGAUUUACUUGAUCUUGAUUAUCUAAAUGGAUAACUGUGGAAAAGCUAGAGCUAAUACAUGCACUAAAGCUUUGUCCUUACGGGAAAGCGCAUUUAUUAGAACAAAACCACGCGGCUUCGGCUGCUUCUUGUUGACUCAGAAUAACUAAGCUGACCGCAUGGCCUUGUGCCGGCGGCGUGUCUUUCAAGCGUCCACUUUAUCAACUUGACGGGAGCAUAAUUGACUCCCGUGGUGGUGACGGAUAACGGAGGAUCAGGGUUCGACUCCGGAGAAGGGGCCUGAGAAAUGGCCACUACGUCUAAGGAUGGCAGCAGGCGCGCAAAUUACCCACUCUCGGCUCGAGGAGGUAGUGACGAGAAAUAACGAGAUCGUUCUCUUUGAGGCCGGUCAUCGGAAUGGGUACAAUUUAAACCCUUUAACGAGUAUCAAGCAGAGGGCAAGUCUGGUGCCAGCAGCCGCGGUAAUUCCAGCUCUGCUAAUACAUAGAAUUAUUGCUGCGGUUAAAAAGCUCGUAGUUGGAUUCGUAUCGGUACCCUGGAACCCUCCGGGUGUUUCUGGGUGUUAUCGAUUUAUCGUAAUGUUCGGUUUUGAGUCCUUAACAGGAUUUUUAACAGGCAUUGCAAGUUUACUUUGAACAAAUCAGAGUGCUUAAAACAGGCGUUUUAGCUUGAAUGAUCGUGCAUGGAAUAAUAGAAAAUGAUUUUGGUUCUGUUUUAUUGGUUUUACGGACUGAGAUAAUGGUUAACAGAGACAAACGGGGGCAUUUGUAUGGUCCCGUGAGAGGUGAAAUUCUUGGACCGUGGCCAGACAAACUACAGCGAAAGCAUUUGCCAAGAAUGUUUUUAUUAAUCAAGAACGAAAGUCAGAGGUUCGAAGGCGAUCARAUACCGCCCUAGUUCUGACCGUAAACGAUGCCAACUAGCGAUCCGCCGAUGGAAAUUAUAUUGCCUUGGUGGGGAGCUUCCCGGAAACGAAAGUCUUCCGGUUCCGGGGGAAGUAUGGUUGCAAAGCUGAAACUUAAAGGAAUUGACGGAAGGGCACCACCAGGAGUGGAGCCUGCGGCUUAAUUUGACUCAACACGGGGAAACUCACCCGGCCCGGACACUGUGAGGAUUGACAGAUUGAUAGCUUUUUCAUGAUUCAGUGGAUGGUGGUGCAUGGCCGUUCUUAGUUCGUGGAGUGAUUUGUCUGGUUUAUUCCGAUAACGAGCGAGACUCUAACCUACUAAAUAGUUGGUACAUACUCUUAGUGUAUACAGCUUCUUAGAGGGAUUUGCGGCGUUCAGCCGAAAGAAAUUGAGCAAUAACAGGUCUGUGAUGCCCUUAGAUGUCCGGGGCUGCACGCGCGCUACACUGGCAAAAUCAACGUGCUUGUCCUACCCUGAAAGGGGCGGGUAAACCAUUGAAAAUUUGCCGUGAUUGGGAUCGGAAAUUGCAAUUAUUUUCCGUGAACGAGGAAUUCCAAGUAAGUGCGAGUCAUCAGCUCGCGUUGAUUACGUCCCUGCCCUUUGUACACACCGCCCGUCGCUGCCCGGGACUGAGCCAUUUCGAGAAAUUUGGGGACCGUUGAUUUAAUUUUUCUAAAUUACUUUGAUGGAAACCAAUUUAAUCGCAGUGGCUUGAACCGGGC
Molecule: ribosomal RNA, 1682 nt
Filed under: Meloidogyne arenaria
Lineage: Eukaryota; Metazoa; Nematoda; Chromadorea; Rhabditida; Meloidogynidae
Description: SSU rRNA
Rfam family: Eukaryotic small subunit ribosomal RNA
Source: RNAcentral